Molecule: ribosomal RNA, 465 nt
Filed under: uncultured bacterium
Lineage: Bacteria
Description: partial 16S ribosomal RNA
Rfam family: Bacterial small subunit ribosomal RNA
Source: RNAcentral
GACGAACGCUGGCGGCGUGCUUAACACAUGCAAGUCGAACGGAAAGGCCCUGCUUGCAGGGUACUCGAGUGGCGAACGGGUGAGUAACACGUGGGUGAUCUGCCCUGCACUUCGGGAUAAGCCUGGGAAACUGGGUCUAAUACCGGAUAGGAGCCAUUUUUAGUGUGAUGGUUGGAAAGUUUUUUCGGUGUAGGAUGAGCUCGCGGCCUAUCAGCUUGUUGGUGGGGUAAUGGCCUACCAAGGCGGCGACGGGUAGCCGGCCUGAGUGGGUGGACGGCCACAUUGGGACUGAGGUACGGCCCAGACUCCUACGGGAGGCAGCAGUGGGGAAUAUUGCACAAUGGGCGCAAGCCUGGUGCAGCGACGCCGCGUGGGGGAUGACGGCCUUCGGGUUGUAAACUCCUUUCGCUAGGGACGAAGCUUUUUGUGACGGUACCUAGAUAAGAAGCACCGGCUAACUACGUG